GCGGACGUGGCGGAAUCGGCAGACGCGCUAGACUUAGGAUCUAGUGCCUAACGGCUUAAGAGUUCAAAUCUCUUCGUCCGCACCA
Molecule: transfer RNA, 85 nt
Filed under: Christensenellaceae bacterium
Lineage: Bacteria; Bacillati; Bacillota; Clostridia; Christensenellales; Christensenellaceae
Also listed under: 1 other name
Description: tRNA-Leu
Rfam family: tRNA
About the family: Transfer RNA (tRNA) molecules are approximately 80 nucleotides in length. Their secondary structure includes four short double-helical elements and three loops (D, anti-codon, and T loops).
Source: RNAcentral